Molecule: ribosomal RNA, 497 nt
Filed under: uncultured bacterium
Lineage: Bacteria
Description: partial 16S ribosomal RNA
Rfam family: Bacterial small subunit ribosomal RNA
Source: RNAcentral
GAUGAACGCUGACGGCGUGCCUAAUACAUGCAAGUCGAGCGAACGGACGAGAAGCUUGCUUCUCUGAUGUUAGCGGCGGACGGGUGAGUAACACGUGGAUAACCUACCUAUAAGACUGGGAUAACUUCGGGAAACCGGAGCUAAUACCGGAUAAUAUUUUGAACCGCAUGGUUCAAAAGUGAAAGACGGUCUUGCUGUCACUUAUAGAUGGAUCCGCGCUGCAUUAGCUAGUUGGUAAGGUAACGGCUUACCAAGGCAACGAUGCAUAGCCGACCUGAGAGGGUGAUCGGCCACACUGGAACUGAGACACGGUCCAGACUACUGCGGGAGGCAGCAGUAGGGAAUCUGCCGCAAUGGGCGAAAGCCUGACGGAGCAACGCCGCGUGAGUGAUGAAGGUCUUCGGAUCGUAAAACUCUGUUAUUAGGGAAGAACAUAUGUGUAAGUAACUGUGCACAUCUUGACGGUACCUAAUCAGAAAGCCACGGCUAACUACGUG